UGGGGAAUUUUGGACAAUGGGCGAAAGCCUGAUCCAGCAAUGCCGCGUGUGUGAAGAAGGCCUUCGGGUUGUAAAGCACUUUUGUCCGGAAAGAAAUCCUUGGCUCUAAUACAGUCGGGGGAUGACGGUACCGGAAGAAUAAGCACCGGCUAACUACGUGCCAGCAGCCGCGGUAAUACGUAGGGUGCAAGCGUUAAUCGGAAUUACUGGGCGUAAAGCGUGCGCAGGCGGUUUGCUAAGACCGAUGUGAAAUCCCCGGGCUCAACCUGGGGACUGCAUUGGUGACUGGCAGGCUAGAGUAUGGCAGAGGGGGGUAGAAUUCCACGUGUAGCAGUGAAAUGCGUAGAGAUGUGGAGGAAUACCGAUGGCGAAGGCAGCCCCCUGGGCCAAUACUGACGCUCAUGCACGAAAGCGUGGGGAGCAAACAGGAUUAGAUACCCUGGUAGUCCACGCCCUAAACGAUGUCAACUAGUUGUUGGGGAUUCAUUUCCUUAGUAACGUAGCUAACGCGUGAAGUUGACCGCCUGGGGAGUACGGUCGCAAGAUUAAAACUCAAAGGAAUUGACGGGGUCAUAGCUGUUUCCU
Molecule: ribosomal RNA, 585 nt
Filed under: uncultured bacterium
Lineage: Bacteria
Description: partial 16S ribosomal RNA
Rfam family: Bacterial small subunit ribosomal RNA
Source: RNAcentral